AAGCAUAUAGUUGAAGAACAGAAACAUAGACGAUGGUCGAUGAAGAAUCAGAAUGCGAUGGUGGAUCCUUAUAUAGCCAUGUGUUAUCAACAAUCGGUGCCCUAUUCUUAAUAGGUUGCUUACUGCCAUGGGUUGAACUGUUCCUAAAGAGUGUGAUGGCGGGUUCUAAAAAACAAUGGUCAAAUUUGUUUUGUGAAGAGAAGACGAAUUCUGAAACCUACAAUGGUGGUGCGACGGUGAUGACGUCACUUGGUUCUUGACAACCAGUAACCUAAUUUCAGCACGUGUUGGACUUAUUAUGGUUGUAAAUUUGUAAUGGAUUAUUUCAAAACCAUUUUGUAAAAGCCUUUUGGGCUUAAGCAAUGAAUCAAACAUUGACAAAAAAAGCAAUGAAUCAAACAUAUGACAAAAAAAACAUUUUCUCUAAAUAGCCAAACAAAUACAGAUAAUAUCAUAUUUACAAAAUAUUAAUAUAAAUAAUUGAAAAGCUGUUAAGUUGACAUCUUUUUUUUUUGUCAUGUGUUGGAUUAAUAUUGAAACUUGAACAAAGGAUACAUCAAACCAGCAAAACAAAGAUUCUUCCGGAGCCAGUAGCCAGCAUAGUAAACAAUACUAUCUGGAGCCAAAGAUGAAAAUAUAGAAAACAACACAUAAACUAGAAGACACAGACCAUAAAGGCAGAUGACUACAAACAUCUAGACGAGACUCAAACCCAUUCAUACAAGAAACAAACCGGACUGUUAGCUAAUAGAUAACCGUUGCUGUAGACUGCGCCUCCUCCUCCUCUGCGCCUGUACUCCACUGACCUCCUCCAAUUCCAACUUAAACUCGCCAUUGGACUUUGAAAGGACUCACCACGCACCUUCUACGCGCCUCCACACCACAGCAAGGCCACCCAAGCCUUACUUAACACGAUUCUUCUCCAUACAGCCGGUAACCAUUAGCCAACCACCACAGGCCAUAGCUCUGACAAAAUCGAUGUCUGUUGCGUCCAGAUCUGAAUUUCUUCACUUCAAUCCGGAGACAUGAAGCUUCUAUUCAGAUUUGAGACCAUCUAAAACUAAAAAGAGCAUAAAACUAGAAGAAACAUGCAACCACCUUCUCACGGAACCAACGGCGAGAUGCCGCGGCCGGAGAAGGUGAAAAGACGACGACUCUGCUUUUUUUUUUCACUCGCUCUGCCCUUUUUUUU
RNAcentral lists this long non-coding RNA (1192 nucleotides) under Brassica napus (rape). RNAcentral's name for it is "long non-coding RNA (BNAP_LNC022923)". The record is from RNAcentral. Lineage: Eukaryota; Viridiplantae; Streptophyta; Magnoliopsida; Brassicales; Brassicaceae.